GGCGCGGUGGCCUAAUGGUAAGGCGUUGCUUUCCGGCUAAGGAUCAUGGCAAAGAUUGUGGGUUCGAGUCCCAUCCGCGUCG
This 82-nucleotide transfer RNA is filed under the name Diplodia corticola. Its description in RNAcentral is "Botryosphaeria corticola tRNA". It matches the Rfam family "tRNA". From Rfam's summary of the family: Transfer RNA (tRNA) molecules are approximately 80 nucleotides in length. The record is from Rfam by way of RNAcentral. Lineage: Eukaryota; Fungi; Ascomycota; Dothideomycetes; Botryosphaeriales; Botryosphaeriaceae.